This 2787-nucleotide ribosomal RNA is filed under the name Escherichia coli. RNAcentral describes it as "bacterial LSU rRNA". It matches the Rfam family "Bacterial large subunit ribosomal RNA". Lineage: Bacteria; Pseudomonadati; Pseudomonadota; Gammaproteobacteria; Enterobacterales; Enterobacteriaceae. The record is from RNAcentral.
AGCGUACACGGUGGAUGCCCUGGCAGUCAGAGGCGAUGAAGGACGUGCUAAUCUGCGAUAAGCGUCGGUAAGGUGAUAUGAACCGUUAUAACCGGCGAUUUCCGAAUGGGGAAACCCAGUGUGAUUCGUCACACUAUCAUUAACUGAAUCCAUAGGUUAAUGAGGCGAACCGGGGGAACUGAAACAUCUAAGUACCCCGAGGAAAAGAAAUCAACCGAGAUUCCCCCAGUAGCGGCGAGCGAACGGGGAGCAGCCCAGAGCCUGAAUCAGUGUGUGUGUUAGUGGAAGCGUCUGGAAAGGCGUGCGAUACAGGGUGACAGCCCCGUACACAAAAAUGCACAUACUGUGAGCUCGAUGAGUAGGGCGGGACACGUGGUAUCCUGUCUGAAUAUGGGGGGACCAUCCUCCAAGGCUAAAUACUCCUGACUGACCGAUAGUGAACCAGUACCGUGAGGGAAAGGCGAAAAGAACCCCGGCGAGGGGAGUGAAAAAGAACCUGAAACCGUGUACGUACAAGCAGUGGGAGCACGCUUAGGCGUGUGACUGCGUACCUUUUGUAUAAUGGGUCAGCGACUUAUAUUCUGUAGCAAGGUUAACCGAAUAGGGGAGCCGAAGGGAAACCGAGUCUUAACUGGGCGUUAAGUUGCAGGGUAUAGACCCGAAACCCGGUGAUCUAGCCAUGGGCAGGUUGAAGGUUGGGUAACACUAACUGGAGGACCGAACCGACUAAUGUUGAAAAAUUAGCGGAUGACUUGUGGCUGGGGGUGAAAGGCCAAUCAAACCGGGAGAUAGCUGGUUCUCCCCGAAAGCUAUUUAGGUAGCGCCUCGUGAAUUCAUCUCCGGGGGUAGAGCACUGUUUCGGCAAGGGGGUCAUCCCGACUUACCAACCCGAUGCAAACUGCGAAUACCGGAGAAUGUUAUCACGGGAGACACACGGCGGGUGCUAACGUCCGUCGUGAAGAGGGAAACAACCCAGACCGCCAGCUAAGGUCCCAAAGUCAUGGUUAAGUGGGAAACGAUGUGGGAAGGCCCAGACAGCCAGGAUGUUGGCUUAGAAGCAGCCAUCAUUUAAAGAAAGCGUAAUAGCUCACUGGUCGAGUCGGCCUGCGCGGAAGAUGUAACGGGGCUAAACCAUGCACCGAAGCUGCGGCAGCGACGCUUAUGCGUUGUUGGGUAGGGGAGCGUUCUGUAAGCCUGCGAAGGUGUGCUGUGAGGCAUGCUGGAGGUAUCAGAAGUGCGAAUGCUGACAUAAGUAACGAUAAAGCGGGUGAAAAGCCCGCUCGCCGGAAGACCAAGGGUUCCUGUCCAACGUUAAUCGGGGCAGGGUGAGUCGACCCCUAAGGCGAGGCCGAAAGGCGUAGUCGAUGGGAAACAGGUUAAUAUUCCUGUACUUGGUGUUACUGCGAAGGGGGGACGGAGAAGGCUAUGUUGGCCGGGCGACGGUUGUCCCGGUUUAAGCGUGUAGGCUGGUUUUCCAGGCAAAUCCGGAAAAUCAAGGCUGAGGCGUGAUGACGAGGCACUACGGUGCUGAAGCAACAAAUGCCCUGCUUCCAGGAAAAGCCUCUAAGCAUCAGGUAACAUCAAAUCGUACCCCAAACCGACACAGGUGGUCAGGUAGAGAAUACCAAGGCGCUUGAGAGAACUCGGGUGAAGGAACUAGGCAAAAUGGUGCCGUAACUUCGGGAGAAGGCACGCUGAUAUGUAGGUGAAGUCCCUCGCGGAUGGAGCUGAAAUCAGUCGAAGAUACCAGCUGGCUGCAACUGUUUAUUAAAAACACAGCACUGUGCAAACACGAAAGUGGACGUAUACGGUGUGACGCCUGCCCGGUGCCGGAAGGUUAAUUGAUGGGGUCAGCGCAAGCGAAGCUCUUGAUCGAAGCCCCGGUAAACGGCGGCCGUAACUAUAACGGUCCUAAGGUAGCGAAAUUCCUUGUCGGGUAAGUUCCGACCUGCACGAAUGGCGUAAUGAUGGCCAGGCUGUCUCCACCCGAGACUCAGUGAAAUUGAACUCGCUGUGAAGAUGCAGUGUACCCGCGGCAAGACGGAAAGACCCCGUGAACCUUUACUAUAGCUUGACACUGAACAUUGAGCCUUGAUGUGUAGGAUAGGUGGGAGGCUUUGAAGUGUGGACGCCAGUCUGCAUGGAGCCGACCUUGAAAUACCACCCUUUAAUGUUUGAUGUUCUAACGUUGACCCGUAAUCCGGGUUGCGGACAGUGUCUGGUGGGUAGUUUGACUGGGGCGGUCUCCUCCUAAAGAGUAACGGAGGAGCACGAAGGUUGGCUAAUCCUGGUCGGACAUCAGGAGGUUAGUGCAAUGGCAUAAGCCAGCUUGACUGCGAGCGUGACGGCGCGAGCAGGUGCGAAAGCAGGUCAUAGUGAUCCGGUGGUUCUGAAUGGAAGGGCCAUCGCUCAACGGAUAAAAGGUACUCCGGGGAUAACAGGCUGAUACCGCCCAAGAGUUCAUAUCGACGGCGGUGUUUGGCACCUCGAUGUCGGCUCAUCACAUCCUGGGGCUGAAGUAGGUCCCAAGGGUAUGGCUGUUCGCCAUUUAAAGUGGUACGCGAGCUGGGUUUAGAACGUCGUGAGACAGUUCGGUCCCUAUCUGCCGUGGGCGCUGGAGAACUGAGGGGGGCUGCUCCUAGUACGAGAGGACCGGAGUGGACGCAUCACUGGUGUUCGGGUUGUCAUGCCAAUGGCACUGCCCGGUAGCUAAAUGCGGAAGAGAUAAGUGCUGAAAGCAUCUAAGCACGAAACUUGCCCCGAGAUGAGUUCUCCCUGACUCCUUGA